RNAcentral lists this ribosomal RNA (529 nucleotides) under uncultured bacterium. Its description in RNAcentral is "bacterial SSU rRNA". It matches the Rfam family "Bacterial small subunit ribosomal RNA", at positions 777 to 1301 of the family's 1533-position model. The record is from RNAcentral.
AAUAGAUACCCGGGUAGUCCUAGCCAUCAACGAUGGAUACUGGAUAUUCCUGCACUCAUGUGGGAGUGUCGAAGCCAACGCGUUAAGUAUCCCGCCUGGGGAGUACGGUCGCAAGAUUGAAACUCAAAGGAAUUGACGGGGGCCCGCACAAGCGGUGGAGCAUGUGGUUUAAUUCGACGCAACGCGAAGAACCUUACCUGGGCUUGAACUGUCGGUAUAGGGACCCGAAAGGGCGACGAUCCCGGGGCAACCGGGAAGCCGAUAGAGGUGCUGCAUGGCUGUCGUCAGCUCGUGUCGUGAGAUGUUGGGUUAAGUCCCGCAACGAGCGCAACCCUUGUCUUUAGUUGCCAGCGAGUCAUGUCGGGCACUCUAAGGAGACUGCCUCGGAUAACGAGGAGGAAGGUGGGGAUGACGUCAAGUCAGCAUGGCCUUUAUGUCCAGGGCUACACACGUGCUACAAUGGGCGCACAGAAGGACGCGAGACCGCGAGGUCAAGCCAACCCUUAAAACCGUUCUCAGUUCGGAUUGC